UACGUAGGGAGCAAGCGUUGUCCGGAUUUACUGGGUGUAAAGGGUGCGUAGGCGGCUUUGCAAGUCAGAAGUGAAAUCCAUGGGCUUAACCCAUGAACUGCUUUUGAAACUGCAGAGCUUGAGUGGAGUAGAGGUAGGCGGAAUUCCCGGUGUAGCGGUGAAAUGCGUAGAUAUAUGGAGGAACACCGGUGGCGAAAGCGGCUCUCUGGCCUGUAACUGACACUGAGGCUCGAAAGCGUGGGGAGCAAACAGG
Molecule: ribosomal RNA, 253 nt
Filed under: uncultured bacterium
Lineage: Bacteria
Description: partial 16S ribosomal RNA
Rfam family: Bacterial small subunit ribosomal RNA
Source: RNAcentral